AAGAAAAAGAGAAAGAAAUUAAAAAGUGGGUGGGAACCACCAAUAGUUUACAGAAAGGCAAUCAGACCAUAUUUUGGUCCCAUUAUCUUUUCCUCCCGCUGGUUCUUCUCUUCUCCUCUCAAGCUCUAUUUUUUUUUUCUUUUUCUUUUUAUAUCAAGACUUUGAAUCUAGAUCUCUCCUUCAAUACUUGAUAUUUUUGGAAGCCGUUUGCGCCAAAUUGAAGCCCACGACGAGAUCUACGAGUUGAUCGGAGCCAAUCUCCAUUUGGCUACCAUUUGAGGAGUCUCUAAAUCCUAGGGUUUGAGAUAAAAAUUGGGGCUUUUUAACCAAUUGGAGGACACGAAAAAGAAGUGACGAACGACCAUCCACCACAAGUUUAGACGAGAUUGGAAAUUUAUAUUUUGCUAUUUUUGUUUUACAAUUUUAAUAUUUUGUAAAUGUAAAUUUUGACUAUCCUGUAAAACUUUAGUAUAAUUUGUAUAAUAUAAUAAAUUAUGGACUUUCGAUUUCAGCUGCAUUUCAUGGACUGUAAAUUGAUGUAAUUAGAUUAUGUUCCUUGUAAAGGAGUAUGGGACUAAGUAGUGGACUAACACUUCCAUAUUUUUUUUUAUUGAAGGAAUUGGAGGGAAGGGACUCUGAAUAUAUGUAUACAGUUAUUUUGGGAAUUGAUAUAUUGUUUGCAUUGUGGGUUGGAGUUUAUGGCUAAGUGAGGCCAUUACAUUUUUUUUUUUAUGCAUUUCAACAGGUUGUGGUAGGAUCCUUUUUAGUAGAGGUCAUGCUGAAUUUUUUUUAGAAUUGGUAUCGUUUUAGGGUCUUGACAAUUAUAUACGAAUUAAAUAAAUAAUAGUUUACAAAUUUUAAAUUAAUUGAAAACUCCAUUAUUUUUUUUAGAGAAAAGUGCAAAAAACCCCCCUAUACUAUCGGGGUUUUGCAACUAACUCCCUUGAACUAACAAAGUUGCAUUUAACCCCCUUCAACUAACAAUAGGGUAUCGGAAAAGCCAAAGACAAUAUUAUCCUCAAUUAACCAUAGUAACCUUUCUUUGGCCCUCAUUUUUCUGCAGAGAGGGAGGGGAGAGAAAGAGAGAGUGAGAGAGCGAGUUGAGCAAGGAAUGACAGUGAGAUGAAACGGCAGGGGCUCAGAUCGGCGGUGAGCAAAGAUGGCGUCACACGCCGGUGUUCAAGGAUCGGCGGCGACGAACGGCGAUGUUCGAGGGUUAAUGGAAUGGUUUCGUCGGAGUACUAGUGAGAGAGAGAGGGAGGGUAUGGGUGACAGAGAGCUAGUGGCGGUGGACCUCGAAGUCUGUGCUGCGGUACACAGGAAUGAGGAGGAGCUUGACAACAGCGGUGGCAAGGGCGAACAUCUGCGGUAUACAUAUGAGAUCGGCGGUGGGUUAUGAUUUGGGUAUGGGUUGUGAUUUGGGCUGGCUUUUUUGAUCCUUUCAUGGUUUGAUCGAUGGGUAUAAAGAAGAAAAUUUGUGUAGUUGAGGAAGGAUCAAGUUUAGGGAUUGAGAUUCAACUAAAAAAAAAGUUUAGGGAUUAAGAUGGGGAGAGAGAGAAGUGAAAAAGGCCAAAGAAGAAAAAAGACGACAACUCCAAUUCUGAUUUUUUCCUCCGGAAAGUCCAAUUCUCUGCCAAUCUCCUCAAUCUCACGUAUGAGUGGUUCCAUUGAAGUGGCUCUCAAUUCCAAUCCUUGGCAGUUCUCAUCGAAGCUAAUGGCUCUGUCUGAAAAAUCCAGAAUAGCUCCUAGUGAUUCACCAGCUACUGCUCCCAAAACAGCCCCUGCAAUGAGAUCCGCCAUCUAUAUUAUGGUUUUCUUUUAUCUGCACAGAAAGAAAACCCUAAUUCACUGAAAAUCAAGAGGGAAUUAAAUUAGGUUUCUGAAUAUUCAACAAGAAUUGAAAACGGGUUUUUGAAAAUCAAAAGGAAUUGAAUUGGGUUUCUGAUCUUCCAGAGAAACUAAAGGUAGCAUGGAUGGAACUGAUGGUAGUUCACGGUGGCAUGACUGGCAUAGUGGUGGGCGAUGACUGGUGCAGCGGUGGGCCACGAGCUUUGCUGCGGCGGCUCAGAUGGUGGAGAGCUCGGCUAUGGCCGGUGAGCAAGGGGUUUCCAUAAAUGGGUUGCUAUUCUUUUUUUUUUUUUUCUUUUUUUUGGCUUGGCUUUGUAAUUAAUUGGUGGCGAAGGGUAGGGCUGCAACUCGGGCGGGUUGGGCGGGCUGGAGACUUAAUUCUGGCUCAGCUUAUGUACAAAAUCUUUUACCCAAGCCCAGCCUGAGCCCGCCUAAAGCCUAAUCCUAGCCACCCAAGCCUAGCCCAUAAUUAACUUCUCCUGCCCAAGCCCGCCCAUGAGCCCACACCUCUAUCUUCAGAAUGUAAAAAGUAAGAAAUUUGUGCAACUACAAGGACUCAAACAGCAUUCCUCCAAGAAAAAUUCCAAACACACUACUAACAAAGUUAUUAUACACUUGUGAAAUAACAUAGUUUUAAAAUAAAUAUACCAUUUUCGGGCUCGGGCUCGGGCUCGGGCUGGGCUUCGGGCUCGGGCUGGCCUUCGGGCUUUAUAUAAUAUCAACCCAAGCCCAGCCCGAAUUUAAUUCGGGCUCAGAAUAUCUAGCCCAAGCUGCCCAAGCCCUGAAAAUUUCGGGUUGGGCUCGGAUAAAUUCGGGCUGGCCCAGCCCGAGUUACAGCCCUAGUGAGGGGUGAAGGUCUGCUAAUUGGGUUUGCAAUGGUGACGAUUUGGGUUUGGUUUUGCAGAGAGCAUAUGGGUUAACUUCUAUUUUUAUUUAUUUAUUUAUUUAUUUUUCAAUUGGGGUUGGCUUUGUGAUGUGGAGGAGCGGUGAUUGUGGAGGUUUUGGGUGGAGGAGUGGUGAUGGUUUUGGUUGAAUGUGGUGGUGGUUACCGAUUUGGAAUGGGGUGAUGGGUGGUGGUGGCCGUCAUCUUAGAUCCAUCUCUUUCUCCCUCAAUCCCCUGUUACAGACUGUAAAAGGGCAUUAUUGUCAAAAAAAUUUAGUUUCUCUGUUGUGUGAUUCUCAAGCGCUCAUUUUUAGAUGGCCGGUGGCUAGAUGGAGUGAUUGCAACAAAUUUGUAUUAUAGUUCAGGGGGGUUUUAUGCAAUUUUGAUAGUUUAGGGGUUAGUUGCAAGUUUCGCAAUAGUACGGGGUUUUUUUUUUU
This is a long non-coding RNA of Cornus florida, 3168 nucleotides long. RefSeq lists it as uncharacterized. NCBI's taxonomy places the organism in Eukaryota, Viridiplantae, Streptophyta, Magnoliopsida, Cornales, Cornaceae. The transcript is spliced from 2 exons. The record is from RefSeq and is a predicted model, not a curated record.